UACAGAGGUCUCAAGCGUUGUUCGGAUUCAUUGGGCGUAAAGGGUGCGUAGGUGGCGCCGUAAGUCGGGUGUGAAAUUUCGGAGCUUAACUCCGAAACUGCAUUCGAUACUGCGGUGCUUGAGGACUGGAGAGGAGACUGGAAUUCAUGGUGUAGCAGUGAAAUGCGUAGAUAUCGGAAGGAACACCAGUGGCGAAAGCGGCUUCCUGGUCCAGCACCGACGUUCAGGCACGAAAGCGUGGGGAGCAAACAGG
This 253-nucleotide ribosomal RNA is filed under the name uncultured bacterium. RNAcentral describes it as "partial 16S ribosomal RNA". It matches the Rfam family "Bacterial small subunit ribosomal RNA", at positions 524 to 776 of the family's 1533-position model. The record is from RNAcentral.